This 92-nucleotide ribosomal RNA is filed under the name Sulfuritalea sp. RNAcentral describes it as "partial 23S ribosomal RNA". It matches the Rfam family "Bacterial large subunit ribosomal RNA", at positions 1 to 92 of the family's 2925-position model. Lineage: Bacteria; Pseudomonadati; Pseudomonadota; Betaproteobacteria; Nitrosomonadales; Sterolibacteriaceae. The record is from RNAcentral.
GGUCAAGUGACUAAGUGCAUGUGGUGGAUGCCUUGGCGAUUACAGGCGAUGAAGGACGUUGUAGCCUGCGAAAAGCUGCGGGGAGCUGGCAA